Molecule: ribosomal RNA, 712 nt
Filed under: uncultured bacterium
Lineage: Bacteria
Description: bacterial SSU rRNA
Rfam family: Bacterial small subunit ribosomal RNA
Source: RNAcentral
GAUACCCUGGUAAUCCAAUCCCGUAAACGAUGUGUGUUGACGUGGGAAAUUUAUUUUCAGUGUCGCAGGGAAACGGAUAAACACACCGCCUGGGGAGUACGACCGCAAGGUUAAAACUCAAAUGAAUUGACGGGGACCCGCACAAGUAGUGGAGCAUGUGGUUUAAUUGGAAGAUACGCGCAGAACCUUACCAACACUUGACAUGUUCGUCGCGACUCUAAGAGAUUAGAGUUUUCGGUUCGGCCGGACGAAACACAGGUGCUGCAUGGCUGUCGUCAGCUCGUGUCGUGAGGUGUUGGGUUAAGUCCCGCAACGAGCGCAACCCUCACUUUUAGUUGCCAUCAUUAAGUUGGGCAUUCUGAAAGAACUGCCAGUGAUAAGCUGGAGGAAGGUGGGGAGGACGUCAAGUCCUCAUGGCCCUUACGUGGUGGGCUACACACGUGCUACAAUGGCAUGUACAACAGGAAGCAAAACGGCAACGUUAAGCAAAUCCCGAAAAGAUGCCUCAGUUCGGAUUGCACUCUGCAACUCGAGUGCAUGAAGCUGGAAUUAAUAGUAAUGGUGGAUCAGCGUGCCACGGUGAAUGCGUUCCCGGGUCUUGUACACACCGCCCGUCACACCAUGGGAGUGGGUUCUACCUUAAGGCAAGGUUUUAAACCCUUGACCACGAUAUAGUCAGGGACUGGGGAGAAGUGGUAACAAGGUAGCCGUA